RNAcentral lists this ribosomal RNA (520 nucleotides) under uncultured prokaryote. RNAcentral describes it as "bacterial SSU rRNA". It matches the Rfam family "Bacterial small subunit ribosomal RNA", at positions 359 to 905 of the family's 1533-position model. The record is from RNAcentral.
UAUCUGACUAUCAUAGUGCAGGGCUCCUACAUGCAUGAGGCUGGGUCCGGAAGGUCUACUGCCUCGAUGGGGAGUCUCCCGUAUGAGUAUCCCCGAGAAGCAGGCCCCCGUUAACUUCUUGCCAGCAGCCGCGGUAAUACGUAGGUGGCAAGCGUUGUCCGGAAUUAUUGGGCGUAAAGGGCGCGUAGGCGGUCCCUUAAGUCAUAUGUGAAAUCCCGAGGCUUAACCUCGGGCGUGCAUUUGAAACUGGGGGACUAGAGUGCAGGAGAGGUAAGUGGAAUCCCUAUUGUACCGGUGAAAUGCGUAUAUAUUAUGAGGAACACCAUUGGCGAAGGCGACUUACUGGACUGUAACUGACGCUGAGGCGCGAAAGCGUGGGGAGCAAACAGGAUUAGAUACCCUGGUAGUCCACGCUGUAAACGAUGGAUACUAGGUGUGGGAGGUAUCGACCCCUUCCGUGCCGCAGUAAACGCAAUAAGUAUCCCGCCUGGGGAGUACGGCCGCAAGGUUGAAACUCAAA